GGCGGCGUGCCUAAUACAUGCAAGUCGAGCGGAAUGAUGAAGAAGCUUGCUUCUUCUGAUUUUAGCGGCGGACGGGUGAGUAACACGUGGGCAACCUACCUUGUAGAUUGGGAUAACUCCGGGAAACCGGGGCUAAUACCGAAUAAUCCAUUUUGCUUCAUGGCGAGAUGUUAAAAGGCGGCUUCGGCUGUCACUACGAGAUGGGCCCGCGGCGCAUUAGCUAGUUGGUAGGGUAAUGGCCUACCAAGGCGACGAUGCGUAGCCGACCUGAGAGGGUGAUCGGCCACACUGGGACUGAGACACGGCCCAGACUCCUACGGGAGGCAGCAGUAGGGAAUCUUCCACAAUGGACGAAAGUCUGAUGGAGCAACGCCGCGUGAGUGAAGAAGGUUUUCGGAUCGUAAAACUCUGUUGUAAGGGAAGAACACGUACGAGAGUAACUGCUCGUACCUUGACGGUACCUUAUUAGAAAGCCACGGCUAACUACGUG
This 490-nucleotide ribosomal RNA is filed under the name uncultured bacterium. RNAcentral describes it as "bacterial SSU rRNA". It matches the Rfam family "Bacterial small subunit ribosomal RNA", at positions 38 to 507 of the family's 1533-position model. The record is from RNAcentral.